RNAcentral lists this ribosomal RNA (371 nucleotides) under uncultured bacterium. Its description in RNAcentral is "bacterial SSU rRNA". It matches the Rfam family "Bacterial small subunit ribosomal RNA", at positions 335 to 723 of the family's 1533-position model. The record is from RNAcentral.
ACUCCUACGGGAGGCAGCAGUGGGGAAUCUUGCGCAAUGGGCGAAAGCCUGACGCAGCCAUGCCGCGUGAAUGAUGAAGGUCUUAGGAUUGUAAAAUUCUUUCACCGGGGACGAUAAUGACGGUACCCGGAGAAGAAGCCCCGGCUAACUUCGUGCCAGCAGCCGCGGUAAUACGAAGGGGCUAGCGUUGCUCGGAAUUACUGGGGCGUAAAGGGAGCGUAGGCGGACAUUUAAGUCAGGGGUGAAAUCCCGGGGCUCAACCUCGGAAUUGCCUUUGAUACUGGAUGUCUUGAGUGUGAGAGAGGUAUGUGGAACUCCGAGUGUAGAGGUGAAAUUCGUAGAUAUUCGGAAGAACACCAGUGGCGAAGGAC